This 374-nucleotide ribosomal RNA is filed under the name uncultured organism. RNAcentral describes it as "bacterial SSU rRNA". It matches the Rfam family "Bacterial small subunit ribosomal RNA", at positions 526 to 896 of the family's 1533-position model. The record is from RNAcentral.
CGGGGGGAGCAAGCGUUGUUCGGAUUUACUGGGCGUAAAGGGCGCGUAGGCGGCCUCUGCAAGUCGACUGUGAAAUCUCCGGGCUUAACCCGGAACGGUCAGCCGAUACUGCAGGGCUAGGGUGCAGAAGGGGCAACUGGAAUUCUCGGUGUAGCGGUGAAAUGCGUAGAUAUCGAGAGGAACACCUGCGGCGAAGGCGGGUUGCUGGGCUGACACUGACGCUGAGGCGCGAAAGCUAGGGGAGCGAACGGGAUUAGAUACCCCGGUAGUCCUAGCCUUAAACGAUGAAUGCUUGGUGUCUGGGGAUUUAUAGUCCCCGGGUGCCGUCGCUAACGCUUUAAGCAUUCCGCCUGGGGAGUACGGUCGCAAGACUG